Molecule: unclassified non-coding RNA, 354 nt
Filed under: rhizosphere metagenome
Description: partial ribosomal RNA internal transcribed spacer region
Source: RNAcentral
GUAGGUGAACCUGCGGAAGGAUCAUUAACACGUAUCCAACGUUAAACAACCCUGUGAACUUUCAGACGCUCUUGUAGCCCAAGCGGAACAGCAAUCCCGGUAAAUCAAUGGCGGAAAGAGUUUGAUUCGGGACCUCUGUCCAUCAGGUUACAAUCGUAGCUAGGAGCAGUGGCAUGGUUUCCUGAAGCAGUGCCGAAGGAUGCACUGAGUACGGAUAACGCAUCACGGUUGCUAGAGGUCGAUCACCGGCCGGCAGACAUGUCACCCCUUAAUCACCCCUUGCCUAAUCACGCCCCGCGGAAACGCCGGGCACUAAAAACCGAACAACUGUUAACAAUGGAUAUCUUGGUUCUC